CCUGGCUCAGAUUGAACGCUGGCGGCAUGCUUUACACAUGCAAGUCGAACGGUAACAGGUCUUUCGGGAUGCUGACGAGUGGCGAACGGGUGAGUAAUGUAUCGGAACGUGCCCAGUAGUGGGGGAUAACUACUCGAAAGAGUGGCUAAUACCGCAUGAGAUCUCUGGAUGAAAGCGGGGGACCGUAAGGCCUCGCGCUACUGGAGCGGCCGAUAUCAGAUUAGGUUGUUGGUGAGGUAAAGGCUCACCAAGCCGACGAUCUGUAGCUGGUCUGAGAGGACGACCAGCCACACUGGGACUGAGACACGGCCCAGACUCCUACGGGAGGCAGCAGUGGGGAAUUUUGGACAAUGGGCGCAAGCCUGAUCCAGCAAUGCCGCGUGCAGGACGAAGGCCUUCGGGUUGUAAACUGCUUUUGUACGGAACGAAAAGCCUUCUUCUAAUACAGGAGGGUCAUGACGGUACCGUAAGAAUAAGCACCGGCUAACUACGUG
This 494-nucleotide ribosomal RNA is filed under the name uncultured bacterium. RNAcentral's name for it is "bacterial SSU rRNA". It matches the Rfam family "Bacterial small subunit ribosomal RNA", at positions 18 to 507 of the family's 1533-position model. The record is from RNAcentral.